GGGACUUUAGUAUAAUGGUUAAUAUAUGUGGCUUUUAAUCAUCGAGAUGUAGGUUCGAAUCCUGCAAGUCCUA
RNAcentral lists this transfer RNA (73 nucleotides) under Hirsutella minnesotensis. RNAcentral describes it as "tRNA-Lys". It matches the Rfam family "tRNA". From Rfam's summary of the family: Transfer RNA (tRNA) molecules are approximately 80 nucleotides in length. Their secondary structure includes four short double-helical elements and three loops (D, anti-codon, and T loops). Further hydrogen bonds mediate the characteristic L-shaped molecular structure. tRNAs have two regions of fundamental functional importance: the anti-codon, which is responsible for specific mRNA codon recognition, and the 3' end, to which the tRNAs corresponding amino acid is attached (by aminoacyl-tRNA synthetases). tRNAs cope with the degeneracy of the genetic code in two manners: having more than one tRNA (with a specific anti-codon) for a particular amino acid; and 'wobble' base-pairing, i.e. permitting non-standard base-pairing at the 3rd anti-codon position. Lineage: Eukaryota; Fungi; Ascomycota; Sordariomycetes; Hypocreales; Ophiocordycipitaceae. RNAcentral also lists the same sequence under 1 other name. The record is from RNAcentral.